RNAcentral lists this ribosomal RNA (169 nucleotides) under uncultured Mesorhizobium sp. RNAcentral describes it as "partial 16S ribosomal RNA". It matches the Rfam family "Bacterial small subunit ribosomal RNA", at positions 338 to 524 of the family's 1533-position model. Lineage: Bacteria; Pseudomonadati; Pseudomonadota; Alphaproteobacteria; Hyphomicrobiales; Phyllobacteriaceae. The record is from RNAcentral.
CCUACGGGAGGCAGCAGUGGGGAAUAUUGGACAGUGGGCGCAAGCCUGAUCCAGCCAUGCCGCGUGAGUGAUGAAGGCCCUAGGGUUGUAAAGCUCUUCCAACGGUGAAGAUAAUGACGGUAACCGUAGAAGAAGCCCCGGCUAACUCCGUGCCAGCAGCCGCGGUAAU